AAAGAGGUGAACCGGCCAGGGCCGAGGAGCCAACCCCGACACCGCAGGGUCCUAGCAGAGGCACCCCCGAUGGCGAGGGGCGCACGGCCAACGCCAUCCCCGAAGAGAAGCCGGGAGGAGCCGGGCUCGGCAGGCAGGAGCCGGCGGCGGCGGUGCGCUGGGCCUUCCGCCUUCGCGCCUCCGCAUUCUGCAGCCGCUUCCCCGCUGGGAUUCGAACCCGGACAGAGCCCCCACUGCUCGGGGCGACAAGUCUCGCGUUCCUCUCGCCUCCCCACAGAGAAGGUGCUCUCUGCCGGCUCUGAUUCUCACUGACCGCUGCCUCUGCUGUUUCCGGCCCUAGUAAUCGAGGCCUCGAGGCGGCGGUGGAGACACGGCUCCCUGAGCCGGCAAGAAAAGGGCAGAGAGCAGGACCGCCCACGGCAGGGAAAAAAUUGCCUCUUCUGCUGAGCGACCGGAAAGGUGAUGGAAUCACGUCCUGGGGGCAGCGCCACCCGCUCUUGCCCCAGGCGCCCGGUGCCAGGGCCGCAGGGCUCUCGGAAGGGAACAGGGCCGCUCUCUUGGCUCCUCUGCCAGCUGUCCAGCUUCGCCACCUGUGGGAGCCGGAGGGGAUGAGGUGCCCUCCCAUCACUCCCUCUGCAUCCUAGACUGAGGUCCCCCAAUGAAGGAACGGUGGUCCAAGUGGCAGGGACACACUUGCACAAGGCCCGGCGCCCCCUGCAGCCCAGGCAGGUCAAGGGACCUCACUGAGGACCAACUGUGUGCCAGGCCUGGGGGCUAGGGUGAAGAUGGCCUGGCCCCAGCCGUGAGCAGCCCCUCACUCGUGGGGCACCCCCCCCCCCAGGAUAUCAGUGGAACUAUG
Molecule: long non-coding RNA, 859 nt
Filed under: Equus caballus (horse)
Lineage: Eukaryota; Metazoa; Chordata; Mammalia; Perissodactyla; Equidae
Description: lncRNA (ENSECAG00000044995.1)
Source: RNAcentral